RNAcentral lists this ribosomal RNA (429 nucleotides) under Bacteroidota bacterium. RNAcentral's name for it is "Bacteroidetes bacterium partial 16S ribosomal RNA". It matches the Rfam family "Bacterial small subunit ribosomal RNA", at positions 355 to 776 of the family's 1533-position model. Lineage: Bacteria; Pseudomonadati; Bacteroidota. The record is from RNAcentral.
UAGGGAAUCUUCGGCAAUGGGGGGAACCCUGACCGAGCAACGCCGCGUGAGUGAAGAAGGUUUUCGGAUCGUAAAGCUCUGUUGUUAAGGAAGAACGAGUGUGAGAAUGGAAAGUUCAUACUGUGACGGUACUUAACCAGAAAGGGACGGCUAACUACGUGCCAGCAGCCGCGGUAAUACGUAGGUCCCGAGCGUUGUCCGGAUUUAUUGGGCGUAAAGCGAGCGCAGGCGGUUAGAUAAGUCUGAAGUUAAAGGCAGUGGCUCAACCAUUGUAGGCUUUGGAAACUGUUUAACUUGAGAGCAGAAGGGGAGAGUGGAAUUCCAUGUGUAGCGGUGAAAUGCGUAGAUAUAUGGAGGAACACCGGUGGCGAAAGCGGCUCUCUGGUCUGUAACUGACGCUGAGGCUCGAAAGCGUGGGGAGCGAACAGG